Molecule: non-coding RNA, 89 nt
Organism: Coniochaeta pulveracea
Lineage: Eukaryota; Fungi; Ascomycota; Sordariomycetes; Coniochaetales; Coniochaetaceae
Source: the annotation of a GenBank genome assembly
GCGCCGUUGGUUCAAGGGUUAGAAUCCUCGUUUCCCAACAUGCCUGAUGGAGAAAGCGGGGGAUCCGAGUUCGAGUCUCGGGCGGCGCA